This is a small nuclear RNA of Mustela putorius furo (domestic ferret), 103 nucleotides long. The record is from Ensembl. NCBI's taxonomy places the organism in Eukaryota, Metazoa, Chordata, Mammalia, Carnivora, Mustelidae.
UUGCUUCAGUGGCACACAUACUAAAACUAGAACCAUAGAGAAAAGACUAGUAUGGCCCUGGCACAAAGAUGAGGCACAAAUCUGGGAAGCAUUCCAUAUUUUU